GCUAUGAGAUGGUCUCAUCAAUGUGCAACAAUUGAACUGGAUUUCCAACUUCCUGAGAGAUUCAACCUCACGCUAGGAUUUUAUGGCUUUCUCCCCAUCAAGUUGUAGUAAUUCCUGUCAGUAGUAAAUAUGAUGAUUAUGCCGAACCGGUAAAUUUAAUUUGAUUCAAAAGAAGUUCCAUGCAGCUGGUUAUCGUGUUGAUACAGACUUGGAUCACGGAUCAACACUAAAUAAGAAAGUUCGCAAUGCACAACUUUCACAGUACAACUUCAUUCUUGUUGUUGGUGAAAAGAGACGGUCUCAGACACGGUCAACGUCAGAACACGUGACAACAAAGUACUCGGUGAAAAAUCGGUCAUGGCCGUGAUCGAACGCUUGCGAGAUUUAGUCAGCUCACGAAGUCUGACAAGCGAA
Long non-coding RNA from Xenia sp. Carnegie-2017, 414 nucleotides. RefSeq lists it as uncharacterized. The transcript has 4 exons. NCBI's taxonomy places the organism in Eukaryota, Metazoa, Cnidaria, Anthozoa, Malacalcyonacea, Xeniidae. The record is from RefSeq and is a predicted model, not a curated record.